AGCAGUGGGGAAUUUUGGACAAUGGGCGCAAGCCUGAUCCAGCAAUGCCGCGUGAGCGAAGAAGGCCUUCGGGUUGUAAAGCUCUUUUGUCAGGGAAGAAACGGUGAAGGCUAAUAUCCUUUGCUAAUGACGGUACCUGAAGAAUAAGCACCGGCUAACUACGUGCCAGCAGCCGCGGUAAUACGUAGGGUGCAAGCGUUAAUCGGAAUUACUGGGCGUAAAGCGUGCGCAGGCGGUUUUGUAAGUUUGUCGUGAAAGCCCCGGGCUCAACCUGGGAAUUGCGAUGAAGACUGCAAGGCUUGAAUCUGGCAGAGGGGGGUAGAAUUCCACGUGUAGCAGUGAAAUGCGUAGAGAUGUGGAGGAACACCGAUGGCGAAGGCAGCCCCCUGGGUCAAGAUUGACGCUCAUG
RNAcentral lists this ribosomal RNA (409 nucleotides) under uncultured bacterium. RNAcentral's name for it is "bacterial SSU rRNA". It matches the Rfam family "Bacterial small subunit ribosomal RNA", at positions 350 to 751 of the family's 1533-position model. The record is from RNAcentral.